RNAcentral lists this ribosomal RNA (457 nucleotides) under uncultured bacterium. RNAcentral describes it as "bacterial SSU rRNA". It matches the Rfam family "Bacterial small subunit ribosomal RNA", at positions 29 to 481 of the family's 1533-position model. The record is from RNAcentral.
AUUGAACGCUGGCGGCAUGCCUUACACAUGCAAGUCGAACGGCAGCACGGGAGCUUGCUCCUGGUGGCGAGUGGCGAACGGGUGAGUAAUACAUCGGAACGUACCCUGAAGUGGGGGAUAACGUAGCGAAAGUUACGCUAAUACCGCAUAUUCUGUGAGCAGGAAAGAGGGGGAUCGCAAGACCUCUUGCUUUAGGAGCGGCCGAUGUCGGAUUAGCUAGUUGGUGAGGUAAAGGCUCACCAAGGCGACGAUCCGUAGCGGGUCUGAGAGGAUGAUCCGCCACACUGGGACUGAGACACGGCCCAGACUCCUACGGGAGGCAGCAGUGGGGGAAUAUUGGUCAAUGGGCGGAAGCCUGAACCAGCCAUGCCGCGUGCAGGAAGACGGCCCUACGGGUUGUAAACUGCUUUUCCGGGGGAAGAAUAAGGGCGACGGUGUCGCCCGAUGCCGGUACCCC